Lagopus muta (rock ptarmigan) is the source of this 1788-nucleotide long non-coding RNA. RefSeq lists it as uncharacterized. The record is from RefSeq and is a predicted model, not a curated record. NCBI's taxonomy places the organism in Eukaryota, Metazoa, Chordata, Aves, Galliformes, Phasianidae. The transcript has 3 exons.
GUGGGGGGGAGGGGGUGGAUUUGAGGCAAGCAGUGCAGCCUUUCUUCCUGAUCGUCUCUGUUUACUGUUUAAUCCUGUUUCCCUUUUACUUUGUUUUGGCAAAGUUCCCACUGCUUAAACAGUGAACUGCAGGACUGGUGGAUACUCUGAGGUCCCUCCAGGCUUCAAAGUGCAGCACUGACACUGAGAAGCCGCAAAGGUCAGCAAAGCCAGUGUACGCAGAUCACACAGAUCACAUCCCGCCUCUUCAAAAUGAAAGCAAAAGCCAUGAAGUGCGCUGCGUGGGAAUGACAAGGGAAGGGGGGGCGAUGGGAAGAUGUUCAUCUAAGGAUUUUCGUGAUUGUUAUUUCCCUGCAUGAAGAGCAGUAACGGCUGCACAAUCUCACAGCCCUCCAGAAGAUACUUAAAGGCCACUAUCAGGUCUUCCUGAAGUCUUCUUUUCUCCAGGCUGAACAGCCCCAGCUCUCUCAGCCUGUCCUCAUAGGAGAGGUGUUCCAUCCCUGGGAUCAUUUUUGUGGACACACUCCAACAGAUGAACAAGUGAAGAGCAAAUGAAAAACUGCAUGCAGAAUUCUUAUUGCACAAGAGAAUUCAAUAUAAACCAUCUGGCAAGUAAAACAGCACCCUUUGGAAAAGAACAGCACAUCUCCUUGAGCUGCUGCUAAUCUAACAAAAGUGAAAGGAUAGGAAUAGAACCUGGAAUUAAUGCCAUUGCUCUCACAUCUAUUUGAGAACAACACAGCAGGUUUAAUUAACUAUAUGGCUGAAAGAAGUUACCAGUUCUUAAAUGUUUUCUAAUAUUUUCACUGUUGGUAUAAAACUAGUGGUUACUAUUGUAUUGCUAAGUGAAGAGUUCACAGAAUCACAGAAUCAUAGAAUGGCCUGGGUUGAAAAGGACCUCAAAGAUCAUUGAGUUUCAAUCCCCUGCUAUGUGCAGGGUUGCCAACCACCAGACCAGGCUGCCCGAGCCUCAUCCAGCCUGGCCUUGAAUGCCUCCAGGGAUGGGGCAUCCACAACCUCCUUGGGCAACCUGUUCCAGUGCAUCACCACCCUCUGUAUGAAAAACUUCCUCCUAAUAUCUAACCCAAACCUCCCCUGCCUCUGUUUAAAACCAUUCCCUCUGGUCCUAUCACUACCCACCUAUGUAAACAGUCAUUCCCCCUCCUGUUAAUAAGCUCCCCUUAAAGUACUGGAAGGUCACAACGAGAUCCCCUGGAGCUUACUCUUCUCCAAGCUAAACAAGCCUGGUUCCCUCAACCUUUCUUCACAGGAGAGGUGCUCCAGCCCUCUGAUCAUCCUAGUGGCCCUCCUCUGGACAUGUUCCAAGAGCUCUGAAUCUUUUUUGUGCUGGGGGCCCCAGGCCUGGAUGCAGUAUUCCCAAGGGACCUCACAAGAGCCGAGUACAGGGAGACGAUCACCUCCCUCUCCCUCCUGGCCACCUUUUUUAAUGCAGAGACUGCAAAAAGUUAUAGCAGAGGUAAGGUUUAUUGUGCAACCUACUUCAAUGGAGCAAACCAAUUAAUAUAACCAAUUCAAUAUAACCUUGAAUCACCUGCUGGAAUGUUUUUAUCCUCAGUAAGGUUUGUUUUAUAUUCUUAUAUCAGGCACAGUGUUUCAACUGUUUAUGAAGUUGAACUUCCUUUAAUGCUGUUUAAAUACUGCAACUGAAUAAUUUCAUUAAGAAACAUAUUAACCUUUCAGAUUAUGAAAGCAAUAAAGAACCAAGAUUAAAAUUGGCACUUGGCACCUAUGAUUGAAAAGUAAAUGAAACAGAUAUGCACAAAUGUU